GUUCUAACGUUGACCCGUAAUCCGGGUUGCGGACAGUGUCUGGUGGGUAGUUUGACUGGGGCGGUCUCCUCCUAAAGAGUAACGGAGGAGCACGAAGGUUGGCUAAUCCUGGUCGGACAUCAGGAGGGUAGUGCAAUGGCAUAAGCCAGCUUGACUGCGAGCGUGACGGCGCGAGCAGGUGCGAAAGCAGGUCAUAGUGAUCCGGUGGUUCUGAAUGGAAGGGCCAUCGCUCAACGGAUAAAAGGUACUCCGGGG
Molecule: ribosomal RNA, 255 nt
Filed under: Escherichia coli
Lineage: Bacteria; Pseudomonadati; Pseudomonadota; Gammaproteobacteria; Enterobacterales; Enterobacteriaceae
Description: partial 23S ribosomal RNA
Rfam family: Bacterial large subunit ribosomal RNA
Source: RNAcentral